This is a non-coding RNA of Paramuricea clavata, 291 nucleotides long. The record is from the annotation of a GenBank genome assembly. NCBI's taxonomy places the organism in Eukaryota, Metazoa, Cnidaria, Anthozoa, Malacalcyonacea, Plexauridae.
AGGAAAAUUUUAUUCACCGAUUUACGGGACCAACCUUGUUGUGCUUCCUGGAUCAAAUCUUAGUAUAACCUGGGUUUUUGAUGACCCUAUAUCAGCAGUGCUUAUUCGGUUUUGGAAUUUCAAACAUAAUGGCGCAGCACAAGAACCACUUGCAAGAAUAAUAAAUGAUAAUGUUCCUAGUGUACUAAACAGCAGCUUACCUGGGAUUGAGAUCAUAAAGCCAGCAACCUUGGUAUUGAAAAACGUUGAUUAUACUUAUAAUGGAACAUACGAGUUUUCCCUCUGGUCAGG